AGAUGAAGAACGCAGCGAAAUGCGAUACUUGGUGUGAAUUGCAGAAUCCCGUGAACCAUCGAGUCUUUGAACGCAAGUUGCGCCUCAAGCCAUUAGGUUGAGGGCACGUCUGCCUGGGCGUCACAUAUCGUUGCCUGAUGCCAGUUUCCUCGUGAUGGGUGACUGUGCAGGGCGAAUGAUGGCUUCCCGUGAGCAUUGUUGCCUCAUGGUUGGUUGAAAAUUGAGUCCUUGGUAGGGAGAGCCGUGAUAGAUGGUGGUUGAGUGACGAACGAGACCCAAUCAUGUGAGACCCCUACCGAAUUUGGCCUUCAUGACCCACAUGCGUCUUUGGAACGCUCAUGACGAGACCUCAGGUCAGGCGGGGCUACCCGCUGAGUUUAAGCAUAUCAAUAAGCGGGGA
This 400-nucleotide unclassified non-coding RNA is filed under the name soil metagenome. RNAcentral describes it as "partial contains 5.8S ribosomal RNA, internal transcribed spacer 2, and large subunit ribosomal RNA". The stretch from base 2 to 123 matches the Rfam family "5.8S ribosomal RNA", at positions 35 to 154 of the family's 154-position model. The record is from RNAcentral.